AGCCAGACUCUAGCUCAAUCUACCAACCAAAUCAACCCAACAAUCCAUCUCCCAAAUAAACCAAAACAUUUUUCAAACUAAGUACAGGCGAUAGAAAAGUCAUCUAGACGCAAUAGAGAUAUGUACCGCAAGGGAAAACUGAAAUAGCAAUGAAAACCAAAGCACCAAACAGCAAAGACUAAACCUUGUACCUUUUGCAUCAUGAUUUAGCAAGAACUAGCCAAGCAAAAUGACCUUAAGCUUGCCCUCCCGAAACCCAUGCGAGCUACUUACAAGCAGCUAUCACUGAGCAAACCCGUCUCUGUUGCAAAAGAGUGGGACGACUUGUUAGUAGAGGUGAAAAGCCAACCGAGCUGGGUGAUAGCUGGUUGUCCACGAAACGAAUCUAAGUUCCCCCUUGAUCCACCUCCACGGCCAUUCCACCCAACCCCCUACGAAGUAAAUCAAGAGCAAUUUAAAGGAGGUACAGCUCCUUUAAAACAAAACACACUUUCCAAGAGCGGAUACGUUGCACCAUACACUAACUGUGGGCCUUUAAGCAGCCACCAACAAAGAAUGCGUCAAAGCUCAUAAUCCCAAAAUACCUAAACCAAACGACUCCCUCACCUCCAGUGGGCCAAUCUAUCCUCAUAGAAGAAUUUAUGCUAAAAUAAGUAACUAGGGCAACCCCUCUACGGCGCUAGCUUACAUCCUCACAUUAUUAACAGGCCCCCACAUAUACCCCAACCACUCACAAGACCAUGUAUAACCAAACUCCUGUUAACCCAACUAAAGGAGCGCCACCAAGAACGAUUAAAAUCUGCAAAAGGAACUAGGCAAACCCAAGGCCCGACUGUUUACCAAAAACAUAGCCUUCAGCAUAGCCAAGUACUGAAGGUGACGCCUGCCCCGUGACAUCAUGUUUAACGGCCGCGGUAUCCUAACCGUGCAAAGGUAGCGCAAUCAAUUGUCCCAUAAAUCGGGACCUGUAUGAAUGGCUAAACGAGGUCUUAACUGUCUCUUGCAGAUAAUCAGUGAAAUUGACCUUCCCGUGCAAAGGCGGAAAUAACCCCAUUAGACAAGAAGACCCUGUGGAACUUAAAAAUCAAUAGCCACUUUCCCAAGCACUCCCACACCCAUGCAGGCACACCUUACAACUCAAAGCUGGCCCAUAUUUUUCGGUUGGGGCGACCUUGGAGUAAAACCCACCCUCCAAAAAUGAGGCCUUAUAUCUCAACCAAGAACCACUAAUCAACGUGCUAACAGCAACCAGACCCAAUAAAAUUGAUUAAUGAACCAAGCUACCCCAGGGAUAACAGCGCAAUCUCCCCCAAGAGCCCCCAUCGACGAGGAGGUUUACGACCUCGAUGUUGGAUCAGGACAUCCUAGUGGUGUAGCCGCUACUAAGGGUUCGUUUGUUCAACGAUUAACAGUCCUACGUGAUCUGAGUUCAGACCGGAGCAAUCCAGGUCGGUUUCUAUCUAUGACAAACUUUUCCCAGUACGAAAGGACCGAAAAAGUAAGACCCCUACCACGAGCACGUCUUCGUUUCAAGUAAUGAAUUCAACUAAAUUACUAAAAACUUCAACACCCCUCAUCCCAUCCUAGAAAAGGAUCG
RNAcentral lists this ribosomal RNA (1597 nucleotides) under Sapayoa aenigma (broad-billed sapayoa). RNAcentral describes it as "16S ribosomal RNA". It matches the Rfam family "Bacterial large subunit ribosomal RNA", at positions 435 to 2837 of the family's 2925-position model. Lineage: Eukaryota; Metazoa; Chordata; Aves; Passeriformes; Tyrannidae. The record is from RNAcentral.